CUUCAGGUGGUACCAAACUAAACAAUUCUGCAACAUCUGCUAUAUUUGAUACAGGAGCACAUGAUUUUGGCUAGCAUAACAGCUCUGAAAGGGCUGAAUCUUUAAGGAAGUUAAUUGCUGUGGGGAAGAUCCUAUGCAAUCCCAUGUGUGGUUGCUUUCUCCAGAGUAGCAGAAAAGCUGCUAGGGAAACCUGUGUUCCUGUGUGAGGGGAAAGAAAGACAUCUCUCCUGGAAAGGGUGAAGAUCUCUUAAAGUUGGCAAGCAUUAUCUUGAAAAUAAAGGAGACCAGCACCAGGGAAGAAUCAGCUGGGGAGGGUAUAGAUGGAUUAGGUUCUGUCUUGGAUAUGAAGAGGACAAGCAGAUUCCAUAAAGCAGCGGGUCAGAGCAAAACAAAAGACUCACUCCUGAAUUCCAGCCAAAGGACAGCUUCUAGGGAGGAGAUAAAAGAGUGGCAGAAAUGGCUGGUGAGCAUGAGACUGCCAGCUGCUGUGCAAGUGCUUCAGGACACAGAGAACCUGCAGGAUCACCAUAUGGAGAACAGACAUAUGCUAUACAGCCUAGACGUAAAUACAGACAAUUUACUGAAUAAAUG
Gallus gallus (chicken) is the source of this 591-nucleotide long non-coding RNA. The record is from Ensembl. Lineage: Eukaryota; Metazoa; Chordata; Aves; Galliformes; Phasianidae.